CUGGUCAACACCGGGCAACUGAACCAUUCCUGCACGUUACUUUUUAACGUAGCUGGCGCCAUUCCCGACCCAUCUUUAUAGUGGCCAGAAAGCCAAGAACGGGAACCGUGGCGGGGAAGUCUGGUUUCCGUCCUGCUGCUUUCCUUCAACUACAAGAUGGCUUCUCAAAAGGACGCAUGCAAUGCCAUUCCUCAAAGACAGGUCUCACUCCGUCACUCUGCAGGAAUGCAGUGGUGUGAUCAUGGUUCACUGCACCUUGACCUCCUGGGCUCAAGCAUCUUCCCCACUCAGCCUCCCAACAGCAUGAGCCACCAUGCCUGGCUAACAAAUUGAUACCAACUAUCACUCUUCUCAGCUAACUAAAAAGGUGGUCUUCACAAGUUUUAAGAACAUUAAAUGACAAUAUUGGCACAAUCAAUAUUUUAUCAUUUUAUAUUUGGAAAAAAACGGGAAGCUGGGGUAAACCAGUUUCUAAAUAAAGCUAAUGAAACUUUAAUUCAUUCAAACACUAUGGUAGUUAUGUUGAUGAUAAGUAAACAUUAUUAUUUAUUUAUACUGUUUCCUGAGGUGAUCCAGAAACUACUGUUAUUAUAGUAGACUCGCUACUAUAUACAUUUACUAUCCCUGCAAAUGUGCUUUGGAAAUACUCAAUAACAAAAAUUUUAAGGUAGACCCAUGUGUAAUUUAACAUGCUUUCUCUGUUACAAAAGCUAUCUUUAGGAAAUUCUUAAGUAUCAAAAAUCCAAUUUAUUCCAUUUUCAGAAGACAAGGAAAAAGCACUCAUAAACUCUAGGCCAUAAAAAAUAGAUUUCAUAAGUAGCUCCUUUAACAUGAAGAAAAUGACAAUAAAAAUAUCUUACUUGCAUGUUACUUCUGGAAUAAUGUCAAAAAUCUAUGUAGAUCUUUCCAUUUUAAAUGAUGUUAAAAUAGUGUCAGCACUGUGACUGACUCAUAGCAAGUAUGGGUAUCUAUCCAAAUAUUUGUCUUUGAAACAAGGAACAAGUGACCAUCCGAUGAAAAGUGCAUGCCUCUUAACAGUAUCUUUCUGUAAGAAAAAUUAGGUGAUCUAUAUUUACAUUUGGGCAGUGGGGGGAUGAAAACUGCUCUUACCAAGAUGGCUGACUUGAAUAAAGACAGUCAAUAUUUUUCAAAAAAUUCACUGCUCUGGUACUGAGAUCUCCAUGAUGACAGAUUACAGUUAAACAGAAAAUGCUGUGAAAUACCUUUUACAGAACACAGCCUGACUUUGCAGAUUAACUUAAAGAUAUAUUUCUUGAUUAUUUCACUGUUAAAAAAUCAAGAAAAACACUACUAACAUUUCAACAUCUUAAAAAUAGAAUUUAUGCAAUGACAUUUUUAAGCUCUGCAUUUUGUAUACUAUUACCGUCUUUAAUUACAGUUAUGUUCAUCCAUAUAUCAAAAGGCAGCACUGGUGACCUUGAUAACAUUAUAUAUGCUUAUGUGUUUAAGACAGUCUUGAUUAAAUAUUUCCAUACAUUAUCUGCAGCCACUAUUCUUAUCCUUUCUUCCCAGGAGGAGAAUGAAGUGGGACUAGGCAUUUACCCGGCACUUGCCUGCACUAUCAUUCAUUGGCACUAAUGAUUAGGAUGCUUGAACCAUGCAGUUUUGUUUCUAUUUCAACAAUAUGACACUGAAGUAGCCAUUAUCUUUUGAUAUUUAAGCCUAAGUAAUAGUAUAUUCUUCAUGCCAAGUUUUGACAGCUCAAUAAUUUGUAUUCUAGAGGGGAAAAUGAUAUUUUUGCUAUUAUUUAUUUAAAAAGAAAAUAAAAAAUGCCAGCUUAAUGCCCCAUUAAAAGCUAAAUUCACCUGAACUUAUUAAUGAUGCUUGCUGAAGACAAAGUGAUUUCAAAACCCCAAAACUGUGUUUAGUAUUUACAAGAAGUAGAAAAAGUAUAUAUUUUUCUGUUAAGAAUAUAAUUCUCUAUCAUUUACAAAUAUAAUUUGGUAAUUUAUAUUUCAAAGCUAUCCUAUGGUCCUAUAUGGAUUAUCAACUUCUAAUUGCCAAUUCUAAAUGUUAUAAUCAUCUAUAUUGGGCCUUGGCCAACCACCUGCAAGUUAUCCUUAACUCCACCAUGAAGAGGGUGCAAGAGAUAUGUUUAUGAAAUGCCUCAAUAUAAUUCUAGUUUUUCAAAACCUCAAGGUAAUAAGCUAACCAGCAGAUUAUUUGUAAACCCACACUACUGAAAUUACAGUGACACCCUUUUAUAUGGUUGAAUUGUAUAA
Molecule: long non-coding RNA, 2243 nt
Filed under: Pan troglodytes (chimpanzee)
Lineage: Eukaryota; Metazoa; Chordata; Mammalia; Primates; Hominidae
Description: long non-coding RNA NONPTRT014750
Source: RNAcentral